This 491-nucleotide long non-coding RNA is filed under the name Felis catus (domestic cat). Its description in RNAcentral is "lncRNA (ENSFCAG00000049060.1)". The record is from RNAcentral. Lineage: Eukaryota; Metazoa; Chordata; Mammalia; Carnivora; Felidae.
AUGUUUGAGCAAGGGCUCAAGCACAGUCAAAUCAGCAUUGCUCAAAGCAGGCAAGGCACUCACAAAAGCAUAAAUAAAGCGAAAUGGAGACAGGAUCUUAGCAUUUUGCAAGGUGGGUUAGUUGAAAAGGAAAGACACGUUCUCUCUCUCUCUCUCUCUCUCUCUCUCAAGCAUCAGAGAGGAGCUGCUUUUUCCUGGUUAAAAGCAAGGAAAUAUGAAACCAUCGAUUUUCCAAGCGAAAGGUCUUUUUCCAGUCCCUCUGAGGGUUAACUUUAUGACAAAAUGAAAGAUUAUCCCCCUGCCAUCUGUCACUGAAACCCCGUCUCCACUCUAUAUCCAGGCCUCAGUGCAGAGUGGAAGCAAAGGAAAUCAAGAGACUUAAAUGCACCAGGAGCCAUUGCACGACAAGCUUCUUUCUCAUUUGUCUUCAUCAGAAGAAUUUCAAGAUCGAAACAUCGAAUCGACGCUCGCUGAUCACUGAUAGGAAGAUU